GGAAUAUAAACUUGAAAAGGACGCUUCUCAAUGGUGUGACACAUGUGGCAACUGUGCUACAAUGCUGACUGAAGUGGAAAACAUGCUGUCAAGAAACCCCCAAAGUGUCUGCAAGAAUGGAAAAGUCCCCAGCCAACCCACAUGCACGGAGGACCAUCCAGGACUUGAGCCUGUAUGUUUUAAUAUAUACUUCCUUCAAAAUGCCAUUAACGUGUACAAAGCACUGUGUGGACCAUUAUAGUUGAGGGGAGUGGUGCAGUAAGUUGAUUUUUUGAUUAU
Periophthalmus magnuspinnatus is the source of this 279-nucleotide long non-coding RNA. RefSeq lists it as uncharacterized. The transcript is spliced from 3 exons. NCBI's taxonomy places the organism in Eukaryota, Metazoa, Chordata, Actinopteri, Gobiiformes, Gobiidae. The record is from RefSeq and is a predicted model, not a curated record.